This 334-nucleotide unclassified non-coding RNA is filed under the name soil metagenome. Its description in RNAcentral is "partial contains 5.8S ribosomal RNA, internal transcribed spacer 2, and large subunit ribosomal RNA". The stretch from base 1 to 120 matches the Rfam family "5.8S ribosomal RNA", at positions 35 to 154 of the family's 154-position model. The record is from RNAcentral.
GAUGAAGAACGCAGCGAAAUGCGAUAAGUAGUGUGAAUUGCAGAAUUCAGUGAAUCAUCGAAUCUUUGAACGCACAUUGCGCCCCUUGGUAUUCCAUGGGGCAUGCCUGUUCGAGCGUCAUUUGUACCUUCAAGCUCUGCUUGGUGUUGGGUGAUUGUCUAUCUUUAUAGACUCGCCUUAAAGUCAUUGGCAGCCGGCAUAUUGGCCUGGGAGCGCAGCACAGGUCGCGCUUCUUGUCAUGAAUGUUGGCGUCCAGUAAGUCUACAUAUUUUGCUCUUGACCUCGGAUCAGGUAGGGAUACCCGCUGAACUUAAGCAUAUCAAUAAGCGGAGGA